Molecule: unclassified non-coding RNA, 240 nt
Filed under: soil metagenome
Description: partial contains 5.8S ribosomal RNA, internal transcribed spacer 2, and large subunit ribosomal RNA
Source: RNAcentral
AACCAUAGAAACCUGCGGAGUACCUGCGGAAGGAUCAUUAUUGAAUUUAAACAAAGGGUAUUUAGGUUGUAGCUGGCUCCAUUAGUUUGGAGCAUGUGCACACCUUUUGCUCUUUUUUUAAUCCACACACACCUGUGAACCUGUGAGGCAGAGACAUGGAUGGGAGAACUUCCAUUUACUUUAAAAUGAAUGAUUGGGACCCCUACCCCCCUCUGUCUACUCAACUCUAAUAUAAACCCA